RNAcentral lists this ribosomal RNA (552 nucleotides) under Pseudomonas aeruginosa. RNAcentral describes it as "bacterial SSU rRNA". It matches the Rfam family "Bacterial small subunit ribosomal RNA", at positions 62 to 610 of the family's 1533-position model. The record is from RNAcentral. Lineage: Bacteria; Pseudomonadati; Pseudomonadota; Gammaproteobacteria; Pseudomonadales; Pseudomonadaceae.
UCGAGCGGAUGAAGGGAGCUUGCUCCUGGAUUCAGCGGCGGACGGGUAGUAAUGCCUAGGAAUCUGCCUGGUAGUGGGGGAUAACGUCCGGAAACGGGCGCUAAUACCGCAUACGUCCUGAGGGAGAAAGUGGGGGAUCUUCGGACCUCACGCUAUCAGAUGAGCCUAGGUCGGAUUAGCUAGUUGGUGGGGUAAAGGCCUACCAAGGCGACGAUCCGUAACUGGUCUGAGAGGAUGAUCAGUCACACUGGAACUGAGACACGGUCCAGACUCCUACGGGAGGCAGCAGUGGGGAAUAUUGGACAAUGGGCGAAAGCCUGAUCCAGCCAUGCCGCGUGUGUGAAGAAGGUCUUCGGAUUGUAAAGCACUUUAAGUUGGGAGGAAGGGCAGUAAGUUAAUACCUUGCUGUUUUGACGUUACCAACAGAAUAAGCACCGGCUAACUUCGUGCCAGCAGCCGCGGUAAUACGAAGGGUGCAAGCGUUAAUCGGAAUUACUGGGCGUAAAGCGCGCGUAGGUGGUUCAGCAAGUUGGAUGUGAAAUCCCCGGGCUC